AACGAACGCUGGCGGCAUGCCUAACACAUGCAAGUCAAACGAGAUCUUCGGGUCUAGUGGCGCACGGGUGCGUAACGCGUGGGAAUCCGCCCUUUGGUUCGGAAUAACAGUUGGAAACGACUGCUAAUACCGGAUGAUGACGAAAGUCCAAAGAUUUAUCGCCAGAGGAUGAGCCCGCGUAGGAUUAGCUAGUUGGUGUGGUAAAGGCGCACCAAGGCGACGAUCCUUAGCUGGUCUGAGAGGAUGAUCAGCCACACUGGGACUGAGACACGGCCCAGACUCCUACGGGAGGCAGCAGUGGGGAAUAUUGGACAAUGGGCGAAAGCCUGAUCCAGCAAUGCCGCGUGAGUGAUGAAGGCCUUAGGGUUGUAGAGCUCUUUUACCAGGGAUGAUAAUGACAGUACCUGGAGAAUAAGCUCCGGCUAACUCCGUGCCAGCCGCCGCCGUAA
RNAcentral lists this ribosomal RNA (449 nucleotides) under uncultured bacterium. RNAcentral's name for it is "partial 16S ribosomal RNA". It matches the Rfam family "Bacterial small subunit ribosomal RNA", at positions 29 to 523 of the family's 1533-position model. The record is from RNAcentral.